GCUUUUAAAGGAUAACAGCCUAUCCGUUGGUCUUAGGAUCCAAAAACUCUUGGUGCAAGUCCAAGUAAAAGCU
This 73-nucleotide transfer RNA is filed under the name Parasudis truculenta (longnose greeneye). RNAcentral's name for it is "tRNA-Leu (CUN)". It matches the Rfam family "tRNA". Rfam says of the family: Transfer RNA (tRNA) molecules are approximately 80 nucleotides in length. Their secondary structure includes four short double-helical elements and three loops (D, anti-codon, and T loops). The record is from RNAcentral. Lineage: Eukaryota; Metazoa; Chordata; Actinopteri; Aulopiformes; Chlorophthalmidae.